Long non-coding RNA from Lolium perenne, 3445 nucleotides. RefSeq lists it as uncharacterized. The record is from RefSeq and is a predicted model, not a curated record. NCBI's taxonomy places the organism in Eukaryota, Viridiplantae, Streptophyta, Magnoliopsida, Poales, Poaceae.
AUGUGCAGAACGCAUAGCACCACGUCGUCGUCCCCGUCCUCCGCCCAUGGCUUGCAGCAGGCGACUGUAGUCGUCGAGGGUGCGCGCCGGAGAGGACGCGGGCCUAGCUGGAGAGGGGGUGGGGGCGGUGAGAGGCUGCUGCCUGAGCCAUCUGUCGAUUUCGACCCGUCUGAUCUCAUCUUCAUGGCCGUGGCGAGGCUGGAGAUUGCGUCAUUCCCUCUCGCCACCUCCCUCGCCCGUGGCUCGCCGCCGUGGCUAGCCUUCGGCCCGUCCUGCGCAUGGCGUCCGACGACAGGGCCAACGCCGCGGAGGUGGACAAGACAGACGAGCCGACGGUGCCGGCACGGAUGAUUACGACGGUGGGCAAGGCGAUGAAGGAGUCCGAGCGGCGGACGUACCUGGUGGCCGCGGUGAUAUCCAGCCUCGGGAUCACCUCCAUGGCCGCUGCCGCCGUCUACUACUGAUUCGCCUGGUAGUGGCAAAUGGAGGGAGGUAAGAUUCCGGCGACGAAAUCCCACGGUGAGCACACCUGAGGCACGCACCAGCCGAAUCGAUGUGCAUUUUUGGUCAAUAUUUGCUAAUUUGUGGGGAUGGCUCGCACAGGCUAGGAUGGAGUAAAUAAAUGUGCGGGAGGCUGAAGCUGCGCCCCUGUUAAGAUUGGAUAUGUUUUUAGGUUAUUAGGAAUGAAUUCGCCAAAAACAUGUAGAUUUUUGUACCUUUGCCCUCUUUAUUCUUGCUGUGUUUGGACUGUUCAUAGUCUAGAUAGAUUUUGCAGAGUCGCAGUAGUAGCUGGCUCUGCUCGGUGUGUAAGUCGUGCUUGGUUCCUAGCCUGCUCCUUCUACUUCCCUUUGAGCCCCUGGGGCGUCACUGCUGAAGAUGACUCAGUGGUAUAGCCAUGGUUGAUCUCCUUCUUUAUUUUCAUCUUUCUGUUCAGCACUUGUUUCUAUGCUUUGCUGUUGCAGAAAAAUGUUUUUUAGGCUUCAGGUAUUUCAGUAACAAAGGAUUGAUAAUAUUAAUCUUGAGAUUCUGGGAUGCUCCUAAUGGAGUUUCUUUUUUUGCGGGGAACGGAGUUCAAAGUUUAGUCGAUGUGAUUAUUAGAAAAUUUAGUCAAUUCGCUGGUCCAUCUAUGUUUGAUCAUCUGGUCUACAAGCCUUUACCUGUACAUAUUGUUUUGAUUGCUAAACUCAAAGUGCUUCUUUGUACUUACCUAGAAGACCCUUUUGGCAGCAAAUGAAAAUCGAAAUAUGCAAGAUUUCAUGAAUACAUUUAACUGCAUAUGUGUUAUCCUUUUCAACUAAGAUACACUUCAGAGUUUCUCCAUGUAGUGGGAUGCCAGAGUAGUUCAUCAAGUGAUCUUUCCAUGUCAAGACAUGUGUUACUUUAGAGAUAAUGCAUAAAUAUGCUGAAGAUAGACUUUUUGACAGUUAAGGAUGCACGAGAUUGUACUUGCACUAAAAUUCAGUUUAUAAGAUUCUCUAGAUAGUUAAUGAAGCAUGCUUAAUUUGCAUGUGGUGUCAGAAACUAAUGCGUGCUGAAACUAAUGUGGGAUGGUAAUGUAUCUUCCACAGUUUUUCAUGUUAAGGUCGUGAAAACAGGUGUGAGAGCAUCUGCAGGAGACAAAUCAUCUCUUUGCAUCAUUCAUUUCUGUUAUACAUGCAACAAGAUAUUGUCUUGGGUAAUGAAGUUCUUCCCCCAUCUUAGGACAUAUGGUUUUUAAGUAGUGUAGCUUGAAAGUAUGUAUUAUCGCUACUAAAUUUAACAUGUAUAAAUCAGUUUUGGUUUGCUAAAUACCUUCAUAUUGUUAUUACUAAAUUUAACAUAUAUAAAUUAAUUUUGAUUUCCUAAAUGCCUUCACAGAUAAUCAUUCAGAGCAAUCUCAGUGUUAGACCUCUAUUUAUUUGCCGGUUACAAAGGAUUUGGUUGGAUCAGUUUUAGCUCUGCCACGAUCAGUUCAAAUAAAUCAUGAAAGAUCCUUGGUUUUUCCUUUUUCAUGCAUGUUUAUUAGGUUAGCUGUACGCAUGUUAGGUUCUUGGUUUUAGUUGUCCCCUGCUGCACUGGUAUGUUUACGCUUCAUAUUAUUGUAGCUUUCUACAGAUCAUGGAUACGUGCUGUCAAAACAUUGCUCUGCUCCUAACUGCAUUGCUCAGUCUCUUAUUUCUUAUUUUUGGCUUUGAGAUCAGAUGUAAGUGUCGCCUGUUAUAUUGAUGCACUACAGUGAUCUUAGCAAACGAUUUAUUAGGCGUUUUUUGUUAAACAGGAAUUGAUCUAGGGUGAAAAGAGAUAUUUAAAACAAUGAUUAUGCACCUCAUGUUGACCUGUGAUGCCCAUUAUCUACAUGCAAGAGCAGAACUGGAGCUACAAUCAUGCUAGAAUUAUAUUUCUGCACGACACCUGACACUGAGCAUAAGAACUCUACAUUAUCCAUGAUGUGCUCUUUACAAUCAAUUUCUUGGAUCGGUUAUAUGCUAUGCUUCCAUUGGAUUCUGAUUUGAUGCGCACAUCAAAAUUACGUGGGUAAGUUGGCAGAAAAUACAUAGCCUCUCCAAAAAUACUUCUAUUUCUAGGUGCAGCAUACCAUUACAGCUUCAAAUUAAGAAGUCAUUUGAAUAAAGAGAUGUAUCUCUAACAUAUUGCCCUGUUGGUGUGUCUCAAAAAAUACGUGGGGUACACUCGAUGUUCUUUCAUUUAUAUAUGGUUUUUGUUCUACAUUUUUUGGGUGAAAUUCUUAGUGUACACACUUCGUCACUGCAUUAUCGUCUUAUAUUUUUCUAAUGUGAUUCCCUAUUUCUGUAUAAACAAAAAUCUAGGUUGAAUUGUAAGAGGAUGAAGUGUUUUUGUUGAUACACCGAAUCUAGGACUUGCGGCUUACCAUGACAAGUGUUGCUCUGUUUCAAGGAAUCCAUUUUUUCAAAUGAAUUCAAAUUAUUCACAACUGAACCUACAAGGUUGCUCUGGUCAAAGGAAUGUGUGCAUAUAGAGGACAUGGGCAUAGAUUGUCGACUAAGGUAGCUGAAAAAUUCACCGAAGCGGAGAAUGGAAAGGGUAAUUGUUGAGGGUAUUACUAUUUGCCCAUGAUAGUACUACUGUGGAGAAUUGGGGAGAAGAGGGUAAAAGGCAUUCUCUUCUAUUAUUGAUGUUUCAAGUUCUGUAUAGAAGGGUUCUUAUAUGAGGAUGAGAUUGUUCUCUUUUAAGGAGUUAGCCCAUAGAUCUUUUCACCAUAUAUUCUGUCUAAGAUUAAAGUUUAAGGCUGCUUAUGUAAAUGUCAAAUUGUAGAUAGAUUAUAAGCUUUUAGAUUAGUUAUGUUUCCCCAAUACUGUCUCUGGUUGAUCUGAAUGCCACUCUUCUUUUACCAUCAAUAGUAGUACCACUAAGAAAUGCGGCCACUUUUUUUUUGUAGUUGAAAGCAGAUGUUUGUUAUAAUCCUCUAAGUAUUGUGAAUAUAUUC